This 253-nucleotide ribosomal RNA is filed under the name uncultured bacterium. RNAcentral describes it as "partial 16S ribosomal RNA". It matches the Rfam family "Bacterial small subunit ribosomal RNA", at positions 524 to 776 of the family's 1533-position model. The record is from RNAcentral.
UACGAAGGGGGCUAGCGUUGCUCGGAAUCACUGGGCGUAAAGCGCACGUAGGCGGAUUGUUAAGUCGGGGGUGAAAUCCUGGAGCUCAACUCCGGAACUGCCUUUGAUACUGGCAAUCUUGAGGCUGGAAGAGGUUAGUGGAAUUCCCAGUGUAGAGGUGAAAUUCGUAGAUAUUGGGAAGAACACCAGUGGCGAAGGCGGCUAACUGGUCCAGAUCUGACGCUGAGGUGCGAAAGCGUGGGGAGCAAACAGG